RNAcentral lists this ribosomal RNA (474 nucleotides) under uncultured bacterium. Its description in RNAcentral is "bacterial SSU rRNA". It matches the Rfam family "Bacterial small subunit ribosomal RNA", at positions 29 to 524 of the family's 1533-position model. The record is from RNAcentral.
AACGAACGCUGGCGGCAUGCCUAACACAUGCAAGUCGAACGAGUGCCUUCGGGUGCUAGUGGCGCACGGGUGAGUAACGCGUGGGAACCUGCCUUAUGGUACGGGAUAACGUCGGGAAACUGACGCUAAUACCGUAUAUGUCUUUGGAUGAAAGAUUUAUCGCCAUAAGAGGGGCCCGCGUCUGAUUAGGUAGUUGGUGAGGUAAAGGCUCACCAAGCCGACGAUCUGUAGCUGGUCUGAGAGGACGACCAGCCACACUGGGACUGAGACACGGCCCAGACUCCUACGGGAGGCAGCAGUGGGGAAUUUUGGACAAUGGGCGCAAGCCUGAUCCAGCAAUGCCGCGUGCAGGAUGAAGGCCUUCGGUUGUAACUGCUUUGUACGGAACGAAACGGUAGAGCUCUAAUACAAGUUGCUAAUGACGGUACCGUAAGAAUAAGCACCGGCUAACUACGUGCCAGCAGCCGCGGUAAA